UCACAAAGACGCGAGUGAUCGAUUUCUAUCGAUUUCCAAUAUUAAUCGAUUGAUUAGUAUCGAUUACGAUCGAUUACGUUCGAUUUCUAUUGAGUAUCAAAAUUAUCGAUUAGAUACGCCCUGCUGUAUAUAGCGGUCACCCUGUGUAUAACGGUCACUGAACAACUUCCCAAAAAUCGUCCCUUAUAUGUACUGUUAAGUUGACCUGCAUAUAGCGGUCACCUGUAUAAAACGGACGCGGUCACUCGUUAGACUUCCUAAAUCCACAAUUUCAUUAUCUUUUUCCUGUAUAUAACGGUCAGGAAACUGGGUUACGAUUAACGAAUAAUGCCAAGCUUUAUUCAUCCCCUCAUUAAAUAGCAGUCACCAAGGCUGGGGCCACACAAAAAUACAAAUGUUAGUACUAAACACAAUUACUAAUACAUGAACAUGACGAACUUUCUUUCGCACUGAGUAAAGUUAAUGACAUAGUACAUGAAAUCAAGCUUUGACAAUAACAACAACAACAACAACCAUUUAUUUGUACUCACAAUUUAUAAAUUAAUUACAAUAAACAUUAAAUUAGUAUAGAGUACUGCCUGCCCAAAAGCUCCGAAAUAUCAUAAAAUUAUAACAAUUUUUUUUCUUCUUGAAAUCCAUAUUGUUACUUUGAAAGCUUUUCCUACACGGAAACUUAGAUCCAAGUAUCUUGCACCUCCCUUAAAGUACACCAUGGACAUUUUGUGGCCUUUUUUAUCGUGUUUAUUGCAUUGCUGUUACUCGUUAUUGUCAAUAAAACAUUAAUUGAGUGACUAUUCUACAUAAAAAUGCUAUUUAUUGACUUCCAGAGAGGAAACGUGUGCAGCGGUCACCUGGCCAUUUCUCAGUGGUGACCAUUAUAUACAGGUUUGACUGUAUUCAAGGUUUUAGCCUAAAAGAUUAGGUUAUGCAAGACCUGCAUGCAUUAAUUUGUAUCAAAGUUACCUUGCUUUUGUAAGUAAGCUUCAUGAUGUUUCAAUUUUUUUUUCUUUCUGACACCAAACUCAGUUCUCCAAACGUUACUCCAUUUUUCUAUUUCCUUGUUUUCGACCAGUAGCUAAUGCGAGCCUUAUACAAUAUUUUAAUUGCUAUUAGAUUAUGGAAUAGGUACCAAAGCCCAAAAUCAAACCAUGUGUACUAAGUAAUUGAAAUUAGACCGAAUGGAGUACAAUUCAGGGAGUAAUCGCGCGAGUAAUUUAAAAAUAGGACAAGCGCGAAGCACAAGGCUGAUUGGAAUUACAAGCACGAUUACUCCCUGAAUUGUAGGACACUAAGUCCAGUUACUAAUUAAUUGUAUCUCUAACAAAUUUCGAAACUAACAAUGUCUUUUGACAACUUCUUUUGAGGGAAAACGUAUGUAGCGCGUUUCAUCAGUUUUGAAAACUGUACGAAACAUUGCAAAGAAAGCCAUUAAAGCGUACACAAUUGAUGUGUGAAUCACGUCGGUAUCCAAUUACAUCUGUCCAAUUAAAAAAAGUUCAAAUUGGAUACCUGUAAUUGGACACCCACCUGAUGAUGCGCUGAUUACCUGGCAAAUAGGCACGCGGAGAACCAAUCACGAUCAAGAAUUUUGUUAUAGAUACUGUAAGGGACUGCAUGUCAAUAUGUAAGUACUAAGAUACAUCUGAUAUCUGGCCAGUUAGUUAAUCAGACCCCAUCUAAAUGGACACAAUUAAUUAAACACAUUUUCGUUGUUAAUUGCAUAUAAUGAGAAUUAUACUAGGGCGGCAAAGUGGCCUGAAGUUAUAAUUCAAAUUAUAUGAGCAGAUGAAGUGAGAAAUAUAUGAGCUUCCCACCCUUCUUCCCUCCCUCUUAUGAGGUCUCUCUUUUGCCUGUCUAUUCCAUUGUGUCAAAAAGCCACCAAAGCAUCAUGGGACGACAAGAUCUAGGACCCAGCGCCUUGUGGGUAUACCCAGGCCUCUUUUAUUGUUUCUUUAGGAGGGUUCGCCCUUCUGUUGGCGUUAAAAAGUCAUUUGAAGCACUAACCGGGAAAUUCCUACAAUUUGUUGUGUCAUAUAUUUCAAACGGAGUCUGUGAAAUAUAAUAUGCCUGCUCAAAAGCGAGAUCAAUCAUUUAUACCAAAUGUAUUGAAAACUUUGAAAAUUAUUUCAUUACAGGAGCAUGGAAUAAGUGCAAAUGAUGUCAAAAAGCUACAAUAAGCUGGAUUUCACACCAUCGAGUCAGUAGCAUACACACCGAAAAAAGCCCUGCUUGCUAUCAAAGGAAUAAGGGAAGCUACGUGUAAAGCUGAAAAAGUGCUCAAUGAAGCUUCUAAACUGGUGCCUGUGGGGUUCACAACUGCCACGGAAUUCCACCAACAGAGAUCAGAGCAUGUAUAUAUCACUACAGGCUCAAAGGAGCUGGAUAAACUAAUGCAAGGUGAAAUAUUUGAAGACAACUUUGGCAAGUCUCCUGGUGUUGAGUGAGGUUGCCACAGGGGAGGUCAUCUGAAAGCCAAAGACUAUAAAUGCCAAGAGGAAAGUGUUUUGAAGUCAAUCUGGUGUAAGUUCUUGGCUUUUGAGUAAUCGGACUAGGUCAUGCGGCUGCAUCAAAGAUGUUUGGUUUUCUUGGAUUAAAGCCCAUGACGAAGAACUGUUGGUCUAAAACCACGAAGAAAAUCAAAAAGGAAGCAAAGAAUUUGCUUAAAAAUGAGUUAAAUCGGGCAGCAUUUGUGGUGAAAGAAUACAAUUUUGCACUUGGGGAGGCAGAUUGCACCAGGGAACAAUUGAGCUAUGUUGUUGUGAAUGCCGGUGUUACUAUCAAUGCAUCGUGGUGCUCUAGAGGAUGGUCAGCUAUGGAUGCCGUCACUGCUGUCAUUUCUGUCGACACUGGAAAGGUUGUCGAUGUUCUAUGCAUGAGUAGUUCCUGUGCAGAAUGCAAGAAAAUGGAGAAAAAAAAAAGAAGACAGAUGGUGAAGUGAGCCAACUAGAAUCUCUCUCUUGGUUUACAAAACAUGAGCCCAACUGCUACCUAAAUCACGAUGGCAGUUCAGCAGUUAGCCUGCGCAGCAGGCAUAUAAGGUUCCUUUUUCCUCUCCCCCCACCUCCACUCCUCCAUUUUUUUCCCGGAAUUCUCUUUCUCCUCUCCCACCCCCUCCCCUUUAUACACCUGCUAUGCAGGCUAUUCAGCAGUAAGUUCUUAACAUAGUAAUUCUGAUUUUUUGCUUCUAGUAUACUAAUCGUGUAUCAAAAUUUCCUCACACAAUUUAUUAGAAAUGGAAGAGUGAUAAAUGUCUUUCUUCUCCACAGCUACAUAUAGGGUGGAAAGGGUUUGGAACAUACUGAGUAUUUGACAUGUUUGAACAUACACUGUAUUUCAAUUUGAAUUUUGCACUGUACCAAGGGUUUUGGAAUUUAGAACACCACCAAUUGCAAAUUUGUGAUGUCCUAGUUUUGUACCAGAUAUUUUUGACAGGUUGCAGGUUAGCUAAAACCCUUGUUUUAAUGGUACAUGGUAAUCCUUACCCUCACAAUUAUGCUAACCUUCCUUGUUAGAGACACUAUGGUCAGGCUAUAUAACAGGAAUGCUAUUCUCAGGCUUACCAAGCCACUAUUCUUGAGCUUACUGUGUUUGAUAAUUUUAAAACAGGGCUCACCUUGCAACCUCCAAAAAUAUACCUGCCACAGUUUUUUCAAAAUCAAUUUUGUUUUAAUGAAACUGCAUACAGCUUUCAAGCAAAAAUAAUAACAUUUUCUUUUCUUCUGAUGCUCUUUUGUAGUCUAUGGAGGCCGCUGGUGCAAAAAUACUGUAUUUGCGUUCUGUGCAAAGUAGGGGGCUGCGAUACAUAAUCCAUUCGUUGGUGAUGGUGACAGCAAAGGCUACAGUGCUGUGUGUAAGGCCAAUCCUUAUGGUCCUGCUGAGUUUAUUCCAAAAGAAGAAUGUAUUGCUCACGUUACCAACCAGUUGGGUACAGGAUUGAGAGCAUUACUGAAAGAAUGCAAGGGUAAAACGUUAGCUGAUAACAAAGCCCUGACUAGAGUGGGAAGGUUAACCCGUGCAAGAGUGGAUACCUUGCAGAAUUUUUAUGGCUGAGCCUUGAGGGAUAACAAAAAUAAUGCAAAAGAAAUGGCAAAAGCAACAAGAGCUAUUUUAAAGCAUUAUAGCAGCACGGUAGAAAAUCCUUGUCAUGAAGACUGCCUUGCGGGUGGUGAUUCCUGGUGCAGCUAUCAACGUGAUGUUGCUAAUGGCACUGAUCUGCACAAGCCUGUGAAGAAUCCAUUCCCUGAGGCAAUUGUUGAAGUAGUACAACCUUUGUUUCAUCGGUUGGGUGAUGAAUCAUUCCUAGCUGGGUGUGAAAAUUGUUACACCCAAAAUACAAAUGAAUCACUGCACCAUGUAAUCUGGGGAAAGGCAUCAAAAGAUGUAUACAGCUCUCCCCAGGAAAUAAGCAUAGCAAUCAGCCUUGGAGUACUAGAGUUCAACCAAGGAUUCCACAGAACAUAUUCGGAGCUACUACCCAUUCUUGGCAUUGGAGUUGAACCCCAAAUAGUGGAAGCGUGGCAGCGAAUUGAUGAAGAGAGGCUCUAUCAAGCUGAUUAUCGCAAUUCCACAGAUAGUAAACUUAGAAGAAAAAAAAAGAGGAAAGAGAAAUUAAAGAAGCAGAAUGCUUUUGUUCACCAGGAAGGUGUCAUGUACAAAUCACGGCCUUUCAUGGGAGAAAAUCAGAAAAAGACAGAAAUGUGGCCAAAGGGAAAAAAAGAAAUACAUCAAACAGAAAGAAAUGAGUUCUGAACAACACUGGUACAACCUUUAAUAGUAUUUAUAACUGAAUGUAACUCACAGUGGUACAUUUUGCUACUUGAAAUUGCUUUGUGUGAAGGUUGUUCCCGUUCAAUUUGUUGACUGAAACUAGCAAGUUUGCUUGUUUAUGAAUAAAUUAUUCAUAAACAAUCAUUGUCGACUUCUCAUCAAGUAGUGCUGAAGUACUUUGGCAAAUUUGUUUGUAAAAAAGAAAAACUUGUGUAGCCAUCCUUACACAGGCUAUAGUACAUAAUAUCACAGUUCACUUUAUUGAUUUUUAUUUAUUCUUCAGUGUCAUUAGUUGCAAUGGAUACAAAUUUGUAUAUCAAAUGUUCUACUCAAUCUUAGGCAGCUCCAUUGCCUGGCAAAACUCUGCCAUUGUCACUUGAAUCAAUGUGUAAACUUUAGAUUUGUGUUGCAUUUAAGAUCCUUGAAUGAGAAGGGGCGGUAUUUUUAAAAUUCCAGUAGUUUGCUUGUGGUGCUGUGCAAAAUCCUCUUACUGUACAUGCACAGAAUACUUUCAAUAUUUUAUUGUAAGUUACUAAAACCCAUAUUUUAUUGAUCAGUAGUUCUUCCAUCAUAAUUAUUUGGUUUUAUUAUCCAACUGCAGCGAGUACUGUCUAAGUAACAGUACAAAUAUACCGCGAUAUUGUACAGAAGAAAACCUGUCUGGCGUAUUUGUACAAUAGAAACCCUGUUUGGCGUAUUUGUACAGUAGAAAACCUGUUUGCCGUUCAGGUCGGCGCGUGCACGCAAAGCUGUCACACUCUCCCUCUUUUAUUGAUAAAUUUGUUGACAGCUGUUGGAUAAUAAAUCUCUCGUUAGAUGUUUUGGUGUUUAGUAUAGCUGUAUAUUUUUACUCAUUGUUUGUAUUUUGACUCGCCCUACGGGCUCGUCAAAAUACGGCACAACUCGUGAAAUACAUACAGCGAUACUGCACACCAAAACACCUAAUAAGAUAUAUGUAUUCUGUCAUAUGUGUAGCAAAUGAAGUUGCCAUACUGGACAGUACAAGAGACUGAUAUUUCUCAAUGGCAAGCGCAGUAUUGUUUCUCGAAAUUGACUUCUGACAUCAAUAGAACAUUUAAAACAUUAAGUAAGUCUCUGUAGUCACCAUAUGCUAAAGAGGCAAAAUUUUCUCCCAAUAUGGUCUUAGCUUUCGAAAGCGACCACCUAAGCUUGACAUUUUGGGUGGUCGCUUACGGGAGGUUCGACUGUGUUCUGAACCCAGAACAAACGCGGAUGAUACCAGCCUGACACUUGCCAGGACUGACAUUGAGCAAAUAAUUAAAUUAUCGCCUUAAUCACGACCUGAGUAAUGGGUACGAAUGGCUGUCUGCUAACAAGCUUACCCUAAAUAUGACAAGAACUGAGUUUAUGCUUAUUGAAUCAAGGCAGAAGUUAUCACAAUUUAUGGAAAGUCCCUCUCCUACUAUAAACAAGAAUGCAGUAGAACAAGUAAGCUCCGCUAAAUUCCUUGGAGUUCAUGUCGAUCAAAAUAUAAACUGGGAGUGUCAUUGAAAAUAUCUCUAAGAAGAUAGCUUGUGCCAUUGGUGCAAUUAAACGAAUUCGGCAUCUCACUCCAUUUAAUGUUUUAAUUAAAGUUUAUAAUAGCCUUAUCCAACCAUAUUUUGAUUAUUGCAAUGUAGUGUGGGGAAACUGUAACAAGGGCCUUUCUGAAAAACUGCAAAGGCUUCAAAAUCGCGCAGCUCGCACCCUGAUGUCUGCAAGCUAUGAUAGUAAUUAGGGUGGCGAAGACUCUUCCAUCAAAGAUUGGAACGGAAGUCUAUCCUAACGUAUAAAACAUUAAAUAGUAUAACACCUGAUUAUCUGAGAUCAAGAUUCGUAUAUCGUGACAACGUAAAUGCUUAUCGUUUAAGGAAUACCGAAAACAAAUUAGUACUUCCACAAUCUCGAACUAAUUAUCUUAAGAGAUGUUUUUCGUAGAGCGGAGCUCACUUGUAGAACAACUUACCAAUAGACCUAAGACAAGCAUCUUCACUGACCGAUUUCAAAUCUAAAUUAACAGAUUAAGUCGCCACGGUUUAAAGUAAUGUCUUAAUUUUAAGUAAAUUUUUAGACGGCCUCCAUGGAAAGCAGGUUUUUUUCAAUUUUUAUUGUAGUUAGGAAGAUAGGUUGAUAGUCCAGUAACUUUGUUGACUGAUGAAAAAACCGUGUAUAAUUAAAGUUAUCGUAUCUUAUCUUAUCAUAUCUUAGCCAAUUUAUCAUAACUUGACCUUCAGUUAAGUUCAAUUAGCCUUUCUUUACCACGUUCCAUGGCGAGACCUGUAAAGCUUUGUGGUUGUUUUCCAUGGCCUGUAAAGGAGGCCGGGACAAACUAUGACAGUUGCAGCGAACAGGAAAUCGAUCUUUAA
Molecule: long non-coding RNA, 7133 nt
Organism: Orbicella faveolata
Lineage: Eukaryota; Metazoa; Cnidaria; Anthozoa; Scleractinia; Merulinidae
Source: RefSeq, a predicted model, not a curated record